GCAGUAGUAGCAGUAGUAGUAGUAGCAGUAGUCAUACCACAUAAAGCAGUACGACAGUUUGGUGUAUGCGCGCGGCAGCAAGAGAGAGAGGGAGAGGGAUGCACGGGCAGAAGACAGUGGCAGUGGUGGUGGUUGUGUGCGUGUGUUCCUAACGUGCACACACUCGUCUCUUACCUGUGUGCGUGUGUGCGUUUAUAGUGCCCGUGUACGUAGGAUUGGUGAAACGUACAUACACACACGUACAUGCAUAGAAAACGGAAAUGAUUUAAUUAAAGAAAGAAAAAGAAA
This is a long non-coding RNA of Portunus trituberculatus (swimming crab), 288 nucleotides long. RefSeq lists it as uncharacterized. The transcript is spliced from 2 exons. Lineage: Eukaryota; Metazoa; Arthropoda; Malacostraca; Decapoda; Portunidae. The record is from RefSeq and is a predicted model, not a curated record.